GACGAACGCUGGCGGCGUGCUUAACACAUGCAAGUCGAACGGUAAGGCCCUUCGGGGUACACGAGUGGCGAACGGGUGAGUAACACGUGGGUGAUCUGCCCUGCACUUCGGAAUAAGCCUGGGAAACUGGGUCUAAUACCGGAUAGGACCACUGCCUGCAUGGGUGGUGGUGGAAAGCUUUUGCGGUGCGGGAUGGGCCAGCGGCCUAUCAGCUUGUUGGUGGGGUGAUGGCCUACCAAGGCGACGACGGGUAGCCGGCCUGAGAGGGUGCCCGGCCUAACUGGGACUGAGAUACGGCCCAGACUCCUACGGGGGGCAGCAGUGGGGAAUAUUGCACAAUGGGCGCAAGGCUGAUGCAGCGACGCCGCGUGAGGGAUGACGGCCUUCGGGUUGUAAACCUCUUUCAGCACCGACGAAGCGCAAGUGACGGUAGGUGCAGAAGAAGGACCGGCCAACUACGUGCCAGCCGCCGCCGUAA
RNAcentral lists this ribosomal RNA (478 nucleotides) under uncultured bacterium. Its description in RNAcentral is "partial 16S ribosomal RNA". It matches the Rfam family "Bacterial small subunit ribosomal RNA", at positions 28 to 523 of the family's 1533-position model. The record is from RNAcentral.